RNAcentral lists this ribosomal RNA (255 nucleotides) under uncultured bacterium. RNAcentral describes it as "partial 16S ribosomal RNA". It matches the Rfam family "Bacterial small subunit ribosomal RNA", at positions 524 to 776 of the family's 1533-position model. The record is from RNAcentral.
UACGUAGGGUGCAAGCGUUGUCCGGAAUUAUUGGGCGUAAAGAGCUCGUAGGCGGUUUGUCGCGUCUGCUGUGAAAACCCGAGGCUCAACCUCGGGCCUGCAGUGGGUACGGGCAGACUAGAGUGCGGUAGGGGAGAUUGGAAUUCCUGGUGUAGCGGUGGAAUGCGCAGAUAUCAGGAGGAACACCAAUGGCGAAGGCAGAUCUCUGGGCCGUAAGCUGACGCUGAGGAGCGAAAGCGUGGGGGAGCGAACAGG